RNAcentral lists this ribosomal RNA (492 nucleotides) under uncultured bacterium. RNAcentral's name for it is "partial 16S ribosomal RNA". It matches the Rfam family "Bacterial small subunit ribosomal RNA", at positions 30 to 507 of the family's 1533-position model. The record is from RNAcentral.
AUUGAACGCUGGCGGCAUGCUUUACACAUGCAAGUCGAACGGUAACAGGCCUUCGGGUGCUGACGAGUGGCGAACGGGUGAGUAAUGCAUCGGAACGUGCCCAGAGGUGGGGGAUAACGCAGCGAAAGCUGUGCUAAUACCGCAUGUGAUCUGAGGAUGAAAGCGGGGGACCAAGCAGCAAUGUUUGGCCUCGCGCCUCUGGAGCGGCCGAUGUCAGAUUAGGUAGUUGGUGGGGUAAAGGCCUACCAAGCCGACGAUCUGUAGCUGGUCUGAGAGGACGACCAGCCACACUGGGACUGAGACACGGCCCAGACUCCUACGGGAGGCAGCAGUGGGGAAUUUUGGACAAUGGGCGCAAGCCUGAUCCAGCAAUGCCGCGUGAGGGAAGAAGGCCUUCGGGUUGUAAACCGCUUUUGUACGGAACGAAAAGGCUCUGGCUAAUACCUGGGGCUGAUGACGGUACCGUAAGAAUAAGCACCGGCUAACUACGUG